Molecule: ribosomal RNA, 618 nt
Filed under: uncultured bacterium
Lineage: Bacteria
Description: bacterial SSU rRNA
Rfam family: Bacterial small subunit ribosomal RNA
Source: RNAcentral
CCUACGGGAGGCAGCAGUGGGGAAUUUUGGACAAUGGGCGAAAGCCUGAUCCAGCAAUGCCGCGUGUGUGAAGAAGGCCUUCGGGUUGUAAAGCACUUUUGUCCGGAAAGAAAUCCUUGACUCUAAUACAGUCGGGGGAUGACGGUACCGGAAGAAUAAGCACCGGCUAACUACGUGCCAGCAGCCGCGGUAAUACGUAGGGUGCGAGCGUUAAUCGGAAUUACUGGGCGUAAAGCGUGCGCAGGCGGUUUGCUAAGACCGAUGUGAAAUCCCCGGGCUCAACCUGGGAACUGCAUUGGUGACUGGCAGGCUAGAGUAUGGCAGAGGGGGGUAGAAUUCCACGUGUAGCAGUGAAAUGCGUAGAGAUGUGGAGGAAUACCGAUGGCGAAGGCAGCCCCCUGGGCCAAUACUGACGCUCAUGCACGAAAGCGUGGGGAGCAAACAGGAUUAGAUACCCUGGUAGUCCACGCCCUAAACGAUGUCAACUAGUUGUUGGGGAUUCAUUUCCUUAGUAACGUAGCUAACGCGUGAAGUUGACCGCCUGGGGAGUACGGUCGCAAGNUUAAAACUCAAAGGAUUGACGGCUGAGACGNGCGAGGACGACGACGAGGGAGGAGG